UGGUGGAGUGAUUUGUCUGGUUAAUUCCGAUAACGAACGAGACUCUAGCCUGCUAAAUAGCCAGCGUGUAUGAUUUCGCGCGCUGCGCUUCUUAGAGGGAUAGGCUACUCUUAGUGGCAAGAAACUGAGCAAUAACA
Molecule: ribosomal RNA, 137 nt
Filed under: uncultured eukaryote
Lineage: Eukaryota
Description: partial 18S ribosomal RNA
Rfam family: Eukaryotic small subunit ribosomal RNA
Source: RNAcentral